RNAcentral lists this ribosomal RNA (301 nucleotides) under uncultured bacterium. RNAcentral describes it as "partial 16S ribosomal RNA". It matches the Rfam family "Bacterial small subunit ribosomal RNA", at positions 509 to 807 of the family's 1533-position model. The record is from RNAcentral.
CAGCCGCCGCGGUAAUACGGAGGGUGCAAGCGUUAAUCGAAAUUACUGGGCGUAAAGCGCACGCAGGCGGCUUGUUAAGUCAGAUGUGAAAUCCCCGAGCUUAACUUGGGAACUGCAUUUGAAACUGGCAAGCUAGAGUCUUGUAGAGGGGGGUAGAAUUCCAGGUGUAGCGGUGAAAUGCGUAGAGAUCUGGAGGAAUACCGGUGGCGAAGGCGGCCCCCUGGACAAAGACUGACGCUCAGGUGCGAAAGCGUGGGGAGCAAACGGGAUUAGAUACCCCGGUAGUCCCUGUCUCUUAUAC